RNAcentral lists this ribosomal RNA (291 nucleotides) under Escherichia coli. Its description in RNAcentral is "partial 16S ribosomal RNA". It matches the Rfam family "Bacterial small subunit ribosomal RNA", at positions 294 to 580 of the family's 1533-position model. The record is from RNAcentral. Lineage: Bacteria; Pseudomonadati; Pseudomonadota; Gammaproteobacteria; Enterobacterales; Enterobacteriaceae.
GAGAGGAGGACCAGACACGAAGGAAGAGAGACUCGGUCCUCUCUCGGGGGGCAGGGAGCAGGGAUAUUUCACAAUGGGCGCAAGCCUUAUUCAACCAUGCCGCGUGUAUGAAGAAGGCCUUCGGGUUGUAAAGUACUUUCAGCGGGGAGGAAGGGAGUAAAGUUAAUACCUUGGCUCAUUGACGUUACCCGCAGAAGAAGCACCGGCUAACUCCGUGCCAGCAGCCGCGGUAAUACGGAGGGUGCAAGCGUUAAUCGGAAUUACUGGGCGUAAAGCGCACGCAAGGCCGGU